Aphis gossypii (cotton aphid) is the source of this 358-nucleotide long non-coding RNA. RefSeq lists it as uncharacterized. The transcript has 3 exons. The record is from RefSeq and is a predicted model, not a curated record. Lineage: Eukaryota; Metazoa; Arthropoda; Insecta; Hemiptera; Aphididae.
GUCAUACUUAAAAACAAAUACCAAGGUUGAAACUAAAACGCUUGAAAAUAUGACAAAUCUCGUGAAAAGCAUUAACAUUUUUAUUGCAACACAUGGAUACGAGAAACCUUUUUCACCGCCAUCAUUUUACACUAUAUUUAAUGAGGAAAUUCUUUCUGAUAUCUCCCCUCAAUCACAGACAAGCUGUACAGACGAAAACGAUGGACCAUACGGACCACAGUAUAACAUUACCAACUCACUACCCAAAAGACGACACACUGUUUAAUGUACUUUUGUGUAAAAUAAAAACAAGUCAGUUAUUUUUUAGUAUAUGAAGUAUUCUAUUUUUAUUUGAAUACUACGUUUGAAGAAUUAAUUA